RNAcentral lists this ribosomal RNA (497 nucleotides) under uncultured bacterium. RNAcentral describes it as "partial 16S ribosomal RNA". It matches the Rfam family "Bacterial small subunit ribosomal RNA", at positions 28 to 507 of the family's 1533-position model. The record is from RNAcentral.
GACGAACGCUGGCGGCGUGCCUAAUACAUGCAAGUUGAGCGCUGAAGGUUGGUACUUGUACCAACUGGAUGAGCAGCGCACGGGUGAGUAACGCGUGGGGAAUCUGCCUUUGAGCGGGGGACAACAUUUGGAAACGAAUGCUAAUACCGCAUAAAAACUUUAAACGCAAGUUUUAAGUUUGAAAGAUGCAAUUGCAUCACUCAAAGAUGAUCCCGCGUUGUAUUAGCUAGUUGGUGAGGUAAAGGCUCACCAAGGCGAUGAUACAUAGCCGACCUGAGAGGGUGAUCGGCCACAUUGGGACUGAGACACGGCCCAAACUCCUACGGGAGGCAGCAGUAGGGAAUCUUCGGCAAUGGACGAAAGUCUGACCGAGCAACGCCGCGUGAGUGAAGAAGGUUUUCGGAUCGUAAAACUCUGUUGGUAGAGAAGAACGUUGGUGAGAGUGGAAAGCUCAUCAAGUGACGGUAACUACCCAGAAAGGGACGGCUAACUACGUG